CCUACGGGGCGCAGCAGUGGGGAAUAUUGCACAAUGGGGGAAACCCUGAUGCAGCAACGCCGCGUGAAGGAAGACGGUUUUCGGAUUGUAAACUUCUGUUCUUAGUGAAGAAGAAUGACGGUAGCUAAGGAGCAAGCCACGGCUAACUACGUGCCAGCAGCCGCGGUAAUACGUAGGUGGCAAGCGUUGUCCGGAUUUACUGGGUGUAAAGGGAGCGUAGACGGCAGAGCAAGUCUGAAGUGAAAGCCCGCGGCCCAACUGCGGGACUGCUUUGGAAACUGCCCGGCUAGAGUGCUGGAGAGGUA
Molecule: ribosomal RNA, 305 nt
Filed under: uncultured bacterium
Lineage: Bacteria
Description: bacterial SSU rRNA
Rfam family: Bacterial small subunit ribosomal RNA
Source: RNAcentral